AAAAAAUCCGCUGUAACGUUAAUGCUGAGGCGUGAUGGGGAAGGCCCUUGAGGCUGAAGUACAUGAUUCCAUGCUUCCAAGAAAAGCAUCUAGAGAGAGAAGUAGUGCCCGUACCGCAAACCGACACAGGUAGAUGAGGAGAGAAUCCUAAGGCCGGCGGAAGAAUUGCAGUUAAGGAACUAGGCAAAUUGACCCCGUAAGUUAGCGAGAAGGGGUGCCUGCGAGAGCAGGCCGCAGAGAAUAGGCCCAAGCAACUGUUUAGCAAAAACACAGGUCUCUGCUAAAGCGCAAGCUGAUGUAUAGGGGCUGACGCCUGCCCGGUGCUGGAAGGUUAAGGGGAACACUUAGCGCAAGCGAAGGUGUGAACUUAAGCCCCAGUAAACGGCGGCCGUAACUAUAACGGUCCUAAGGUAGCGAAAUUCCUUGUCAGGUAAGUUCUGACCCGCACGAAUGGCGUAAUGACUUGGGCACUGUCUCAACUGCAAAUCCGGCGAAGUUGUAGUGCGAGUGAAGAUGCUCGCUACCCGCGAUUGGACGGAAAGACCCCGUAGAGCUUUACUGUAGCUUAGCAUUGAAUUCCGGUAUUGUCUGUACAGGAUAGGUGGGAGACUGGGAAACUAGGGCGUCAGCCUUGGUGGAGUCGUCCUUGGGAUACCACCCUGACAGUACUGGGGUUCUAACAGGACGCCAUGAAUCUGGUGACUGGACAUUGUUAGGUGGGCAGUUUGACUGGGGCGGUCGCCUCCUAAAAAGUAACGGAGGCGCCCAAAGGUUCCCUCAGAACGGUCGGAAAUCGUUCGUAGAGUGCAAAGGCAGAAGGGAGCCUGACUGCGAGACCUACAAGUCGAGCAGGGACGAAAGUCGGGCUUAGUGAUCCGGUGGUACCUCGUGGGAGGGCCAUCGCUCAACGGAUAAAAGCUACCUCGGGGAUAACAGGCUGAUCUCCCCCAAGAGUCCACAUCGACGGGGAGGUUUGGCACCUCGAUGUCGGCUCGUCGCAUCCUGGGGCUGUAGUAGGUCCCAAGGGUUGGGCUGUUCGCCCAUUAAAGCGGCACGCGAGCUGGGUUCAGAACGUCGUGAGACAGUUCGGUCCCUAUCCGUCGGGCGUAGGAAAUUUGAGAGGAGCUGUCCUUAGUACGAGAGGACCGGGAUGGACUGACCUCUGGUGCACCAGUUGUUCUGCCAAGAGCAUGGCUGGGUAGCUAAGUCGGGAAGGGAUAAACGCUGAAAGCAUCUAAGCGUGAAGCCUCCCUCAAGAUGAGAUUUCCCAUAGCAUAAGCUAGUAAGACCCCUUGAAGAACACGAGGUUGAUAGGUCAGAGGUGUAAGUGUGGUAACAUAUUUAGCUGACUGAUACUAAUAGGUCGAGGGCUUGAUC
Molecule: ribosomal RNA, 1377 nt
Filed under: metagenome
Description: bacterial LSU rRNA
Rfam family: Bacterial large subunit ribosomal RNA
Source: RNAcentral